AUUGAACGCUGGCGGCAGGCCUAACACAUGCAAGUCGAACGAGUGGCGGACGGGUGAGUAAUGUCUGGGAAUCUGCCCGAUAGAGGGGGAUAACUACUGGAAACGGUAGCUAAUACCGCAUACUAUCAGAUGUGCCCAGAUGGGAUUAGCUUGUUGGUGGGGUAAAGGCUCACCAAGGCGACGAUCCCUAGCUGGUCUGAGCGGAUGAGCAGCCACACUGGGACUGAGACACGGUCCAGACUCCUACGGGAGGGAGCAGUGGGGAAGAUUGCACAAUGGGCGCAAGCCGGAUGCAGCCAUGCCGCGUGUAUGAAGAAGGCCGUCGGGUUGUAAAGUACUUUCAGCGGGGAGGCGUUACCCGCAGAAGAAGCACCGGCUAACUCCGUGCCAGCAGCCGCGGUAAUUC
RNAcentral lists this ribosomal RNA (406 nucleotides) under uncultured bacterium. Its description in RNAcentral is "partial 16S ribosomal RNA". It matches the Rfam family "Bacterial small subunit ribosomal RNA", at positions 30 to 526 of the family's 1533-position model. The record is from RNAcentral.